UACAGAGGUCUCAAGCGUUGUUCGGAUUCAUUGGGCGUAAAGGGUGCGUAGGUGGCGCUGUAAGUCGGGUGUGAAAUUUCGGAGCUUAACUCCGAAACUGCAUUCGAUACUGCGGUGCUUGAGGACUGGAGAGGAGACUGGAAUUCAUGGUGUAGCAGUGAAAUGCGUAGAGAUCAUGAGGAAGACCAGUGGCGAAGGCGGGUCUCUGGACAGUUCCUGACACUGAGGCACGAAGGCAGGGGAGCAAACGGG
This 252-nucleotide ribosomal RNA is filed under the name uncultured bacterium. RNAcentral's name for it is "partial 16S ribosomal RNA". It matches the Rfam family "Bacterial small subunit ribosomal RNA", at positions 524 to 776 of the family's 1533-position model. The record is from RNAcentral.